RNAcentral lists this ribosomal RNA (450 nucleotides) under uncultured Alphaproteobacteria bacterium. RNAcentral describes it as "bacterial SSU rRNA". It matches the Rfam family "Bacterial small subunit ribosomal RNA", at positions 410 to 878 of the family's 1533-position model. Lineage: Bacteria; Pseudomonadati; Pseudomonadota; Alphaproteobacteria. The record is from RNAcentral.
GAAGGCCUUAGGGUCGUAAAGCUCUUUCGCCAGGGAUGAUAAUGACAGUACCUGGUAAAGAAACCCCGGCUAACUCCGUGCCAGCAGCCGCGGUAAUACGGAGGGGGUUAGCGUUGUUCGGAAUUACUGGGCGUAAAGCGCGCGUAGGCGGAUCGGAAAGUUGGGGGUGAAAUCCCGGGGCUCAACCCCGGAACUGCCUCCAAAACUAUCGGUCUAGAGUUCGAGAGAGGUGAGUGGAAUUCCGAGUGUAGAGGUGAAAUUCGUAGAUAUUCGGAGGAACACCAGUGGCGAAGGCGGCUCACUGGCUCGAUACUGACGCUGAGGUGCGAAAGUGUGGGGAGCAAACAGGAUUAGAUACCCUGGUAGUCCACACCGUAAACGAUGAAUGCCAGUCGUCGGGUAGCAUGCUAUUCGGUGACACACCUAACGGAUUAAGCAUCCCGCUGGGGA